UGUUGAAUACAUUACAUGUGUGCCUUCAGGUUCGUGAUCUUUAAACACUGCUUAUUUGUUUUGAUCCAAAGUUUUCAGUGUUUCACUAUGAGCUAGGUAUGAAGUUUUUGGAACUGUUGCCUUUAAGUCUAUUGCUUAAAAUGUUCCAUUAGUAUCAUCGAAGUGAGAAACUAGCAAUGGUGACAAAAAUCGAGUUAGAAUGGCAAAAUAGGAAUUUUCAGGUUGUAUAUGGUCCUUGUGUUUCUUCUUUCAGAUAUGUGGACCACUUCUCAAUGAAGAUCAGCUUCGUCCGAUCGUGGAUGAGAUAAAGCAUGUCAUUACAGAGAGUUCAAAUAGCCAAGGAAAACUCACAGAGAGAGAAAAAACAGAAGAUUUUGAUGCUGAGGAAGCUGAAUUGCUGAGAGGGGAAAAACAUCGACAAGAUCAAAUAUUUAAACUUGUAUGUUCUAUAUUAAAACAGUGAUUCACUGUUGUCUUUAUAUAUUCAAGAAUUUUCACUUUGGUUCUGCUGUUAUUCUUGAACACAGGCUGGUCUCAUAUUAUGUAGACUGAUCGAAACAUUCAAGGUUGUUUUCUUGCCUUACUUUGACGAGUUAUCAUUAUAUCUGAUUCCGAUGUGGGUAAGUUCAUUGACACUAUUGUAACAUGAUGUUAGUUUAUCAUUAUUCAUAUCUAGUAUAUCUUAUUGUUUCCGAUUUUUGUUAAGGACAAAGAAAUGACAAUUCAAGAGAGAUGUACAUCACUUUAUAUCUUUGAUGGUCUUGUGAAGCAUUGCUCUGAAGCAGCUCUAAAGUGAGUUUAAUUUAUCUGUAUGAGUUUUCUUAAAUUAUUGGGGUGUCACCAUUUUGAUAAAUCACUUACUUCCUAUGCCAACUAGGUACUGUGAUGUAUUUCUACCUUUGCUUCUGAAAUCAAGCAACGACGAAAACCCAGCAGUUAGACAGGUUUGGAUCAUCGUGAUUGCUUACAUUCCUGUUACUCAAGUUGGUUGCUCACAGUAUGGUUUAACCAAAACACCAAUGACUUCAUGUUCAGAAUGCUCUAUAUGGACUUGGGCUUUAUGCAGAAUAUCAUGGUUCUGUUUUCAAACCUUUUGUUAGAGGUAUUAAUAUUAUUGAAUGUGAUACUUCUAAUCAAGCAAGUGUUUUUGUUAACUUACGCGUUUAUGUUCAGAGGCUAUGUCACGGAUCAAUGUAGUGAUAAUGCAUUUACGUGCUCGUGAACCUGAGAAUGAACUUGCAUAUGAUAAUGCUGUUUCUACCCUUGGUAAAAUAUUUCAGUUUCAUCGAGAACUUAUCGACUCAGCCCAGGUUUGUCCUUCUCAGAAUCCCUAAUGUUAAGUCUUGUUAUAAUUUCUGAUUCUGAAUCCUUGUGUAGGUCAUUCCCAUUUGGUUGAAUUGCCUGCCUAUAAAAGGUGACCUUCCUGAAGCCAAAUAUGUUCAUGGUCAACUAUGUUCCAUGGUUGAAAGGUAUUGGAUUUGUUUGCAAACUCUAAUAUGUCAUAUCUUCAUAGUCUUUAAAAUGUUUUAUAUCAAAUUUUUUCACUUGCAGGUCAGACAGAGAACUUUUAGGUCCCAAAUAUGAACACUUUCCAAAAAUUAUGUCAGUUUUUGCAGAGGUUAGUUCCAUAUCAGACUCUACAGAUGCCAGUUUGAGUUGUUCAUUUGUUCCUGAUAGAUAUUUAAGGAGAGAAGUAUUGGAAAUAUUCCUAAACUAGGUGUGAAUUAUUAGUUUUAUCUUCGAACUAUUGACAACCUUAAAAACACUUAUUUACUUGACUAACACCCAUGAUCUUGCAAUAUGAGUGAAAUACACUCCUAAAUUCUCUCAAGUUUAUGGGUGCUUUGAACACUUCUCUCGACUUUUUAUUAAGAGUUUCAUGUCUUUACAAGAGUGUAUGCAAUGUGGCAGAUCAGAUAUGUAUCUAAGUUUAAGCUAGUCAAGUAGAUGGGUGUUUUUAAAACUGUCACUAAUUUGGAGACGAAACUAAUAAUUUGUGCCAAGUUUAAGGAUGUUUUCAACACUUGUCUCGUAUUUAAUCAAUCAUGAGACAUUUUUGGACCAAACUAUUGACCUAAAGAUAUUUUUAUUCGAUGUUGUAUAGUUAAUUUAGUUUUGCUUUUUAAGGUUUUACGUGGUGGAAAACAUCUUGCUACAGAAGAAACAGCAAAGUGUAUGAUUAAUCUGUUGAGGAAACUUGAGAAAGAAGUAGCACCAGACACCUUGAUAUCUGCAUGGUCAUUACUAUUGCCUAAGCAGGAGAUGGAACUGAAAUCCAUUCUAUUUCCUGGCAUACUUAUAAACCACAAAACAUUUUUUGUGCUUGGCAGUAAUUUCUCAAUUGUCAAAUUUCUUGAGGAAGAACUCCAGAAAAAUAUUACUAAUGUUCGACGAAUGUGACUUAUAAACCGUGUAUUGUAUCUUUAAUUUAGUUUUGUUACAGAAUAAUGUAUAGAUGAUACUAUAGUUGAUUUGUGGGAAUUUGAAUAUUUAAUUACCAUAAUUAGACUAUUCUCACUUAUUUAUAUCUUUGUAUUCUUUGAGUAGUACUCCCUCCAUUUCUAUUUAUAUGUCGUCCUUUUCUAAGGAUAGAUAAUAUUUAAUAUUUGACAUUUCACAAAACCAAUACAUAAAUAAAACGAUUCUUUCUAUUUUUACCUUUAAAAGCUAUUAGCCUUGAAAGUAUGAAUUUGACCAAUAUAGGAAAACUAAAUGAUUAGAUCAUUUUCAUUGAUCAAUUUAAUUAAUCAAAAUAAAUUAAUUUAUAUUCAUUUGUUGAAACUUGACUUCAAGAGAUCACUAAAUAAGGAUACACCAGUCAAUUCACCUAGACGUGAAAUCUAAAAUUGUGGCAUAUAAAUAGAAGUGAGGGGGUAGAUAAGAAAUUUUAUGUAACUUCUCUUGUUUUCGUGGUAUCAGAGCCUAAGGGCUCAAAUCUUUAGAUUCUCUAAAACAAAAUUUCAAUAAGGGGUCUACAGUAUAAAUAAAAUUUUAAUAUUCAAACAUUUCAAUAUUAUUUAAAUUAAUUUACCUUAGAGAUUGACAUAAUUCGAAAACCAAAUACCGAAUAAAUAAUUCAUAAAACUGAAAUUAUCAUCGCCGGACCAGUGACCACUAGUACCUCCAAACAACUCAAAAACAAACUACCACCCGAUCACACCAAAUCGGUCGUUACAUGAAAUGAGACAUUUCAUGGUAACGAUGGAUCUAAAUGAUACAAUACAAUAAAAUUUAAGUAACAAUCAACAUAAGUAUUGUAUUUAAACUAACUAUACAAUAUAAUGGGUAACAACCAUCCAAACAAGGUGUUAAUGUAAAAGCAUACAGAAUAUCAUAUAAUAAAGUUCAUAUAUCAAUGCAAUGGAUCCAUUGAAAGAAAGUAUUUUGAAGUACACACAAAACUCAAAAACAAGAAAAUUAUCCAUCUAGAUGGAUAUGAUUAUGCAUAAUGAACAGAGGAAACAGCUUAAGAGAAAAACUGGUCCAUUAGAUCCCCUCUUUCAAUCGCGAUCUUCUAUUUCUGCACAGCAAAGAAACACUUCUCAAAUAUAUUUUACGAAAGAUUUAACAGGUAAAAGUGUACAAGCUCAAAAUAUGAUGCAAUUAAUCUUGAGUCAGUUACCUGUUAAACCAGUGUUGCAGUUUUUUAUAUGCAAGGGGUAAAUAAGGACCUUGAGCUCUGCAUUUCCAUAUUCUUCUUGCACUUCUUGAAUGUCCUUGACUGACUUUUCAAGAGACUCACCACAUCGUUUCACUUCAACUAUCUUUAGAGUAGGAAUAUCUCCAAUCAUAGAAGGAAUUUCUUGAAGAUUAAAGCAGUUUUCUACCAGAAGCUGUUUGAGGUUAAGCAAGGACUCAUUUGAGGCAUUCCAUGUUGUUAUUUUAAGGGAACUUAAUUUAAGAACCUUGAGGUUCAGAAACUCUUCAUCUUCGAUCUCCCAUUUGUCCUGCUGAAAUGCUCUAUGUUCCAACUUGAGAACCACUAAAUUUGGUAAUCUUCCGAUAUUAGACAGUUCACUUUGUGGCAACAAAACAUCUGAUAGAGUUAGCUUUGUUAGUGUCGCGGGCAAGGUGAAAUUCAAAAUCUUACCAUUUACACUGAGUGUUUCAAGUUGAAGAGCAUCUAAUUUGAGUUUGAGAGGCUCUUUACAGUGGCAUUUGAGCUUUCGCAGUCUGCUUGCCUUCUUGACCAUGUAGUCUACUAGCUCAUUAGUGAGAGACACUGUGGCCAAAGUCUCUAUGUUUGUCGAUGUCUGAGGAAUGCGUCCAUCAAAAGAUGCAACAGGUUCAACAUGUACAUGCUUUAGCCUUGGCAUAUUCCAGAUGGUCAUCGGUAAAAUUGUGCCACUGCCUACUGUUAUUACAAGCAAUACCUCUAGGUUUGAAAGGUUCGAUAUCCAUAAUGGCAUAGAUACCAUAUAGCCUUUGAUUCCUAAGUACUUCAAAUGGAUCAGCUCUUUUGAUCUCUGGAAUGAACUGUCUGACAUAGGACAUUCCAUUUGUAGUACUUUUAAUAGUUUAAAGUUCUCGAGAUCAAGAAAUUCCUGGCAGCCAGAUUUCGGGGGUCUGAAGAAUGCAGAUCGAACUUGCAUGUUUCCAAUCUUCCCUGCCCAAUAAAGGCUAUGAUGAAUGCAAAGCCUCCGGUGCUCAUAAAAGGAACUAGACAAAUCAGUCUUCCCGGUGCUUGUUAGUUGCAUAAACUUCUCUUCCUUAGACUUUGUCAUGCAAAAAUCAUGUAACAUAUCAUGAAUGUGGCAUGUUCUGACUCCUCCAGUGGACUUUCUCUUGCUCACCAUUAUCAAGCUUCUACCAAUGAGAUCAUUCAGUAAACUUUCUACAGCAAGGUGUAUACUUUCUACCUCUAUGUUUGGCACCAAUCCCUCAAUAGUCCAUAACCACUCCAAGUUCGAGAGUGGAAUUUCUUCAUCCUUUUGAAAUGAUGCAAAAUAUAGAAGGCAGGGUUUGAGAUGAUCAGGCAAGUGCUUGUAGCUCAGUUCUAUAACCUCCAUGCACUCUUUUGCACUAGUAACAGUAUCUAACUUUAUACUUUCUGCGAUUCUUCUCUAAUUUUCCUCAUUUUUGCUUAUCCCAGACAAAACUCCAGCAACCAAAAUCACAAGGAGAGGUAGUCCUUUACACUUACUCGCGAUGUUUGCUCCACUUUUGAUAGGUCUGGUGGGCAAGUUUGUUCCUUGAACAGCUUGAUUCUCAUUAGUUCCCAACUUUCAUUUUCGUCAAGGAAACGAAGGUGAAGAGGUUCUCUAUCAGGGUUAAUUUCUGAAGCCACAUCGCUGAGUCUGCUAGUUAAUAAAAUCCUGCUUCCGUUAUUAUCAUCCGGGAAGCAUCCUCUCAAGUCAUCCCAUGUGUCAACACUCCAAAUGUCAUCAAUGUAGAGAAGGUACCUCUUCUUUUUUAAGAAUUUCUGCAAAGCAUCUGCUGGAUUUGACUCAUUCUGUUGAUUGGAACUUUUAACUUGAUUCAAAAUUUCAAGCAGCAACUUUCUCCUGUCAUAAGCUUGGGAAACACAACACUUAGCUUUGACAUCGAAAUGACGCCGCAUUUUCUCAUCAUGAAAAACUUUCUUUGCUAGUGUAGUUUUUCCAAGACCAGGCAUCCCUACGAUAGACACAACAUCCAAGUACUUUGGUCCUCUAGUGAGCCAGUUGAUUAGCAAGUCAAUCUCGUCCUUAAAACCCACCAUUACCUCAUCAAGUUGUGUAGUCUCAACUACUUGUCUGACAGGAUUUGGUGUUUGUUCUUCAAUAGGGACUUCAACUUCUCGCGUAAUCGUAGCAUGGAACUCUUUCAAAUGAUUCCUUACAACCUUAGUUUCUGUUGUGAUCUUACAUAACAAAUGUAGAUACCAAACAGGAUAAUCUCCGGUAACCAGGCAAUCAAUUAUGCAUUCUGCCUGGUAUGCUAGAGAUAUGACUUCUGUCCAUAGAUCAUGUUUCUUCACCUCCUCAAACUCAUGUUUUUUCUUCUCAACUUCCUUCAAGAAGUCUCGUACGAGACAUAACUCUUCCUGAGCUUCUUCAAUAAGAUGCUUGACAACAGAAUCACACUUUCCGUCUUGCAGCAGCUCUUCCAGAUAGCGUAAGAGGGAAUCGAUAAACCCCAAUCCAUUUGUCCUAGGAAAAUUACAUUUUGAUGACACUACAUCUUUCAGAAUCACAUCUUUUAGAUCUUCCAUGACAUGUUCAAUCUUUUUAACAAGUCACUGAAUACCGAGUUAACUUCUGCUGCUUUGUCAACGGAGAAAGAGAAAGCAGCAGAUACUACCUCAGCAAUCAGACCUUCAAUGCAAGUAAGUUUGUCACUCAUUUUUUCCUGGAUAACAUAUAAAUCUUCUGGUGGACAAAUGAGCAAAGUUACCAAUUGCUUUGAUGCUUCGGCAAGGCUUUUGAUUUGAUCCUUUUUAAGAGGAAGCAUCAAAGAACAUGCCUCACCGUCUGAUAACUCCAACAAAUCCUUGAAGAUGAAAUGAACAAAACCUUCAACAAAUUCUAUCACAUCCCGGCUGUAUUGGAUUUGCAAUUUAACUGAACCUCUUAGAGCUCCAGUAUAGAUUUCUGCAAUGUGCGGAUCAAUGGGCUUGAUAUCUUUCAAAACAUGAGAGAUUUGNNNNNNNNNNNNNNNNNNNNNNNNNNNNNNNNNNNNNNNNNNNNNNNNNNNNNNNNNNNNNNNNNNNNNNNNNNNNNNNNNNNNNNNNNNNNNNNNNNNNNNNNNNNNNNNNNNNNNNNNNNNNNNNNNNNNNNNNNNNNNNNNNNNNNNNNNNNNNNNNNNNNNNNNNNNNNNNNNNNNNNNNNNNNNNNNNNNNNNNNNNNNNNNNNNNNNNNNNNNNNNNNNNNNNNNNNNNNNNNNNNNNNNNNNNNNNNNNNNNNNNNNNNNNNNNNNNNNNNNNNNNNNNNNNNNNNNNNNNNNNNNNNNNNNNNNNNNNNNNNNNNNNNNNNNNNNUGGGCUGCAUAAAUUUGGUAAAGGCCACCUCCCUGGAACCAAUGAAAGGAGAAACUCAUAACCUUCUUUGACUUCAGCAGAAGAUAAGUCUGCCCUUGGUCCCGAGACAGUGUCACCGACUUGCAUUCCAUGUCUGCACAAUCUCCCCUCCUUAAUCCUUCCUUUUUCAUUUGCCCAAUACAAGAAAGUACCAAAAAAUCUCCUCUCUAUUUCAGACAUUUGUUUUCCAGCAGAAUUUCCUCAGAGUGGAUAUAUGUCGACAGCUCUGCAAGCAAAGAGAUUAAAAGCAAAUCACAUUCUAGGACAAACAAUGCAUACUCCAACUCUACACCAGCAAAACUCUGGUACCAUAAUCUAGCUGCUCUUCAUAUUGCGUCAAAUCCGGUGUAUCAUGAAAAAACUAAACAUAUUGAGGUUGAUUGCCAUUUUAUUCGCGAGAAGAUUCCGGAAAACAUGAUUUCCACUGGCUACGUGAAGAGAGGAGGGCAACUAGCUGAUUCUGUUCACAAAAAUGUUGAAUGGAACUCGAGUUGAUUAUCUUUGUAACAAGCUACUAUAAAGCUAUAUGUUUUCUUGUAUAUAAUAUUCUAGCUGAUUUCUAGGGAUUCAGAUAUCUAGUUACCUUAGUUAGCCUUUUCUUUACGUGUACUUAAAUCAGUGUAUUCUUUGGAUAAUAUACAAAUACAAGCUAUACUCUUAAACUUCAUUCUUUGAUAUAUAACAAUAGCUGAUUGCAUUAUGUCUGCAUUCAAAAUUAUGUAGCAAAAGAUGCAAGAAUUAAUACAAAUUAAGUUUGUUAUAAAAGUCUAUCACAUACCUUUUUAACAACUUUGGCAGAGCAGAAAGCAGUGAUCUAGGGUUCAUCAAUUUGUUCCACAAUUUUAACCAAAAACAACUAAAGUGGACUUGCUUUUAUAUGUGUGUUAAUCAUGGAAUACUUUUGAGAUUACUUAAUAUAAAGUAUAAUGAAACUAAAAAUUACAGAUAAAUGAAGACUAUAAAAUGAUGCAGCUUGAUUGUUUCAUUCUGGCCACUGGUAAUGGAUAAGAAAUGAUUUGUUUUCCUCUGUUUCAAUUUGUUUGGCCUAUUUUGAUAUGACGUGAAGUUGUAGAAAGUGAAAAAGACUUUUGAAUCUUAUGGUCUUAAACAUGUCGUGUGGAAAGUUGAAGUUAAAGAGUCGCUAAAAAAAGAAAGGGUCGUUCUUUUUUAAACAGACUAAAAAAAAAAAAGUAGGUUAAACAUAUUAAAACGGAGGAAGUAAUUGAAAGUCUGAACCUACUAAAAAGAAAAGUAGGUCAUGAGUCGGUAUCAUAUUAAUUAGAUCAUUGAAAUAUCUCAUGAUUUACGGAAGAAAGUCCUCAUUUGCUGCUACCAAUUUCACCACUUUGUCAAACAUCAUUUAAUUGGCAAAGAAAAGUCAAAUAAGACAUUUGCAAGUUAGAUAUUAUUCUUGUCAUUGAUUUCACUCAUGAAAUUAUUCGUGUUAGAAAGCAGAAUGAGGUAUACCAUAUAGACUGUAUAAAAAAAUAGUCUGAUAAAAAAAAUAGAGCGUUAGCGAUCAUCUCUUAUCGGAAAAGGUCGGAAUCUAAGUCAAUGAUGAAGCAGAAGGAUCCUAACUCAUUAGCUCUUAAGCUAGCCAAGUCUCUUGGCUCUGAUCAGCUAGCUGCUGCACUUCAUCCUGACAACAAUUGGCCUAAAUUAUUACUCCCUCCGUCCCAUUUUAUGUGGCAACAUUUGACCGGGCACGGAGUUUAAUAAAUAGAUAAAGACUUUGAAAUGUUUAUCAAAUUGCCCUUCAAAAAAAUAGAUAUAUUUUUCUCUCUCCUAAUAAAUGUAUUGGAGUACUCUUUUCAAGAUUAAGUGGGACCAACAAGGGUAAAAGAGAAAUUAUACCUUUAAAUACUUACCAAAUAAGGAAAUGUGACAUUCUUUUUGAGACUGACCAAAAAGGAAAUGUUGCCACAUAAAAUGGGACGGAGGGAGUACCAAUCUUUUAUAGGUGUUUCAGUACUCACUACAAGAAAAUGUACAUACGACAUUAAUUUAGUGACAUUUGAAAUAAAUGUUGGAAAAUAAAGAAUUUUACGAUAUUUAGGAACAAAAUGUCAUAAAACAAUGACAUUUGAUGUCAAAUGUCGUAAAAAUAAUGACAUUUGGUAUCAAAUAUCAUAAAAAUAAUAACAUUUGGUCCAAAAUGUACUAUGAUAAUGACAUUUAUUGCAAAAUAUCGUUGUUUUUAGCGACAUUUAGCAAAAAUGUCAUUUAAAUGAUGACAUUUGCUACAAAUGUCGAAUAUAAUAUGACAUUUAUUACAAAAUGUCAUUGGUUUUAGUGACAUUUAGAAAAAAUAUCGCUUAAAUAGUGACAUUUAAUAUAAAUGUCGAAUAUAUUAUGACAUUUACUGCAAAAGGUCAUUGAUUUUUAGUGACAUUUAGAAAAAAUGUCACUAAAAUAGUGACAUUUGUUGUAAAAUGUCAUUGAUUUUAGCGACUUUUAGCAAAAGUGUUGCUAAAGAAGCGACAUUUAAUACAAAUGUUGAAUAUAUUACACUAGUAGAAUUUCGUUUGCAAAAUUGUUGCUAAAAUAGUGACAUUUCAUACAAUUAUCGAAUAUAUUAUGACAUUUAUUGCAAAAUGUCAUUGAUUCGAUCGACAUAUAGUGAAAAUUUCGCUAAAACAGUGACAUUUUUAUACAAAUAUCGAAUAUAUUAUGUCAUAUGUUGAAAAAUGUCAUUGAUUUUUAUGACAUAUGAUGAAAAGUACUGUUAAACGACUACAACAUUUUAUGUCUACAACCACCCUAGAAAAGUGUAGCCUUUGAUAAAAGGCCACACUUUUUGACUUUAAGCCACGCUUUUCCAGGGGUGGCCGAAAGAAGCAUAACCUUAGAGUUUAGGCGACACUUUUCAAGUGUUGCCUUAACAGCUACGCUUAAAAGCAUAGCCUAAAAGGCAGAAAGGCCACGCUUUGCAGUACCUCAUAUAGCUUAACAUUUCUAUCUCAUACAACUACACUUUCAAGGGUGGCCUUUGCUUCCUUAUUGCCCACGAUUUUAAAGUGUUGCCUUUUCUAUCUUAUGUAUGACAACACUUUGAAGUGUAGUCCUUGCUCAUGUGCAUACCACAAUUUACAGUUAUUUGGCUGCACUUUUAAGUAUGGUAAUAUUAUUUUUACUAUAAAAUAUUUAUAUGCCACAAUUUCUAAUUAAAAAACAUCAAUAUUAUUUUGCAAUAAAUAAUCUCAAACACUAAAUUAGCUAAUAAGUAAUUCAAAUAUAUAGAUUUGUAAUAAACUUCAAAAGAUAGUAUGUCUUGUGUACAUACACAUACUUGUUUGACAGAGAAUUUAAACUAGUUUGUUGAAUUAAUCCAACACAUUGACACUGAAGCAAUAGUCCAUUACAUUGAUAUAUUACACCCUAUAUUCCUAAACACGUUGAAUGGUUCCCUGUAUCUAGACGUGAAAAUAUCCAUUAUGAUGUAUUCAAAUUGUCUCAUUGAACUAACUACAUAUCUGAAGCUGUCUCACUGCCAGCAAAAUGUGUACCUUGUACUCUUUGCUUCAAGUAGUAUGAACCAUGUCUAUUUGACCCUAUAAGUAAUAUGAACUAUGUCUAUUUGUAUAAUUUUCACUCGAACCCUAAAGUACUUAGGUCCAAUAAACACAUUCAUCCUAUGUGGUGUCCUGUAUGAUAAUUUUGUGUCCUAUGUGACGUCCUACAUGUAUUAUGUUGUAGGACGUAUGAGUCAACUUGUUCAAUUUUAUACAAGUUGAAGUGUCUAUUUGUGCAUGCCAAAAAUUGAAGGACAUAUAUGUCAGAUGAAUUCAAAUUUAAAAACAUAUUUAUGUAUUAUGUCAAAUAUUAAUCUAAAGACAUCACAAAUAUGGCCGUGUAAGAUGGUAAUCGAUCCGUUAUACCAACACCAAAUGAACAGAAGGACAAAUUUAGAUGUGCAUGAAAUACUUUUAAUUAAUGGUGAAAGAUAUAUACAAGUGAGUAAGCAUACAUGUGAUCUACACUCUAACCAAAAAGAGCAAUUAUUUUUUGUUGUUGUCAAAAUUAAUCCUCCAAUAAUUCCUUUCAUCUUCAAAAAUUACUUUCACUUUGCAAUUUUUUUCUUGUCUUCAAAGCAUACUGCUUAAAAAUAUAGAGAGAAGAGCUAGUAUUGAUCACUUUGCUAUAGUCUGUCUAUAGUUUCUUUCAAUUGAGUACUAAACAAUGACUAAAUGUUCUUCUCUUCAUUUUUAAUUGCACUUAAUAGGUACUAUUUCCUAAUUAUUUGGCCACAUUUCCUUUUUUAAUUAUCCCUAAUUAUUUGUUCAUUUUGAUAAAUCAAGAAAUGACAAUUUUUUACCUAUUAUACCCUCAAUUAAUUACAUUGAAAAAUGUAGAACUUUUUGAAAAUCUUAAGUUUUUAUUCAUCAACUUCAUAAUUAAUAAGGGUAAAAUGGUAAACUCACUAUAUCAAUUAUUGUUUUCGUAAUAGACGUGUCAAUUCAAAAGUGGACAAGUAAUUAGGAACAUAGUACUCCUUCCGUCCGAAUUUAGUUGUCCAUAUUUCUUCUUUUAGUUGUCCCUAUUUAGUUGUCCAUUUUGACAAAUCAAAAAAGGAUAACAAAUUUUUUCCUAUUAUACCCUUAUUUAAAUGAAGUUGUCAUAAAUAAAGUAAAUAAACUUAUGAACUUCCCAACAUUGAUUAGUUAUCUUGAGUGAAUUUAUUUUGAAAUUGUAAAUUGUACUAUAAGGGUAAAAUUGUAACUUCACUAUGCUAAUCAUUGUUGCCUUAAUCUGUGUGUCAUUUCUAAAGUGGACAACUAAAUAGGGACGAGUAAUAAACGAUGACCAAGAAAGAAUAAUUAAUUAUUUUUCUUGUUUUUUCCUCUAAUGGAGGACAGAUGGAAGAUUAAUAAAAUAUUAUUUAUCUUCUUAAAGUUUAGAGGCCCACUUAAUAAUUGCUACAAAACAAAGAUGCUAAUCAGCUAAAGGAUAUAUUGUAGAAUAAUAAUUUAUACUCCCUUUGUUCGCUUUUAUUUGUCCUAAUUUUACUUGACACACCCAUUAAAAAAAUAAUUAUUAAUAUAGGUAUUUUAUUAAAUUGUCCCUAUUAAACGAUGUUUAGUAUUAAGUAUUGGAAAGUGACUUGGAAAUAGAGUAUUUAAUAUUGAGGGUAAAAUAUGGAAAAAUAUAAUUGUCUUUUUAUGAUAUGUCAAAAGUAACAAAUAAAAUGAAAAUUUAUUUUAGGAAUAAGUGAAAGUGAACGAGAGUAUUAAUUUUAUCUACCCGAGUUAAGAGGUUCAAAUCAAUGAUUUCUUUAUCUUGUCUUUUUAGCAUUGCAAUUAGGGGUGUAUAAAAUCGAACCGAAAAUCGAAUCAAGCCGUAAAUCAAAAAAAAAACCUGACUAGUGGUUUGGUUUGACUUGGUUUGGUAUUGGAAAAAAAAAUCCGACUAUAUUUGGGUUGGGUUGGGUUGGUUUUAACUUAAAAAAAACCAACCCGAGACCAAACCAACCCGACAUUAUAUAUGUAAUUUUAAAAUUUUAUUUUAUACAUAAAAAUAUUUACUUUGAUAUAAUUUUAAAAUAUUUCUUAUACUAUUUCAUAGUUUUUAUCUUUUAAUAUAUUAUUUCAAGUUUAAAACUUAGAAUUCGGAAUGGUCCAAUAAAGAUUAUAGUUCAUAGAUGUUGAUAAUUAUAAUUAAAUUUAAAUCAAAAUCAAAUUAAUACUAAUGCAAAAAGAAAAUCAAUUCAACACUAAGAAUGACAAUAAUAUUGAAUAUUUGUUCUUUAGUUUUACAUUGGUUUAGACAAUUAAAAUACAUAAUCUAAUUUUAAUUUUCCUUAAAUAUUUAGUAAUGUAACUAAUACUUAUUAAACUUAUUUUAGCAUGAUUUAGUACUUUUAAAUUAUGAUCAUUUUCAUUAUGACUUUGCAAUAUUUAUUUUAUAUAAUGAUUUCAUUAUUAUUUAUUAUUGAAUAUUUUUGUUCACCAGUACUCAUCUCAUAUUUUGUGUUAUUUUUUUUUUAAGAAAUACCUUAGAUAAUUGUAUUUUGGUUGGACUAAAGAAAUAUUUGGAGCACAAGUUAAUUAUGAAAUAUGUCUAUUUGUAUAACAGAUGAAUGAAGAAUAUAAAAUGAUGCAACUUCAUUGUUUCAUUAUGGCCACUGGUAAUGGCUAAGAAAUGAUUUUUUCCCCCUUUGUUUCAAUUUGUUUGACCUACUUUGACUUGACAUGAAAUUUAAGAAAAUAAAAAAGAUUUUUAAAUCUUGUGGUCUUAAACAUGUCGUGUGAAAAGUUGAAGUUAAAGAGUUGCUAAAAAAAGAUAGGGUCAUUCUUUUUUAAACAGAUUAAAAAGAAAAGUAAGUCAAAUAAAUUAAACGGAGGAAGUAAUUGAAAGUCUAAACCUACUAAAAAGAAAAUUAGGUCAAGAGUCGGUGUCAUACUAAUUAGAUCAUUGAAAUAUCUCAUGAUUUACAGAAGAAAGUCCUCAUUUGCUGCUACCAAUUUCACCACUUUGUCAAACAUCAUUUAAUUGGCAAAGAAAAGUCAAAUAAGACAAAGUUAAACAUUAUUCUUGUCAUUGAUUUCACUCAUGAUAUUAUUCGUAUUAGAAAGCAGAAUGAUGUAUAUCAUAGGCUGUAUAAAAAAUAGUUUGGUAAGAAAAAUAGAUUUUUAGCGAUCAUCUGUUAUCGGAACUAGCAAUAUGGAUCCUAACUCAUUAGCUCUUAAGCUAGCCAACUUGUAUAGGUGUUUCAGUACUAAUUCCCAUUUGACAGAGAAUUUAAACUUGUUUGUUGAAUUAAUCCAACAUAUUGACGCUGAAGCAAUAGUCCAUUACAUUGAUAUAUUACACCCUAUGUUCCUAAACACGUUGAAUGAUUCCCUGGCUAAUCUAGACGUGAAGAUCACUGCCCUGACGGCGAUGAGUAACUUCAUUCAACAGGUGGGGAGUUCAAAAGAUAGGGAGAGGUUUCAGGAUCUGUUGCCUGCGAUGAUGGACAUGCUGAAUAAGGCAUUGGAAGAAAAUUGUGAGGCAUCAGCUCAGUCUGAGUUGGAGAUUUUGAUUGAGUUGGCCAAGAAUGAGCCUAGCUUCUUCAGGAUGCAGCUUGUGGUUGUGGUGGGUUCCAUGUUUGAUAUAGCUGAAUGCGAGAGUUAUGAAAAGAAAACGAGACGUUUGGCGGUUGAAUUCGUGAUGACAUUGGUUGAGGCCAGGGAGAAGACCCCUGGCAUGAUCAAGAAGUAUCCAUUGUUUACUGAAAAAUAUUUUGCAAUUUUAUUGAAUUUGUUAGAGGAUGAGGUUUAUGACCCUCUCUUGCCUGAUCCUUAUGAUAAAUGGGAUAACAAUUAUGAUUUCCUUUUUCUUAAGAUGUGUUUAAGGCGGUUGUCCAAUGCGCUGGGUGGUAAGACUGUUGUUCCUGUUGCCUUUGAGCAGCUCCGUGCUCACUUGGCUGACGACUCGUGGCAGAAGCCAUGCGCAGCACUCUAUGCACUUGCUCAGAUUGUUGAAGGCUGCUCAGAGGUGUGUAUUUAUUGAUACACUACUAAGAAUUGCAUUUAAACUGAUUAGUUAACGAUCUUGGGAUAGCAGAAGGUCACCUUGAUUAUACUUUCUUCUGUUAUUCUCUAGACUAAGUACUUUGCUUGCUCUCAUCUCUUCUUCAUUAUAAUAGGUGAUGAUUAAGAAUAUGAAUCUAGUGGUGACAAUGGUUCUGGAUUGUAUGGGACAUCCUCAUCCUGGAGUUAGAUUCGCCUCCAUGGAAGCAAUUCGCGAGUUUUUGAGUUUCAUGCGUCCCCAUUUUCAAGAACAAUGUCAUCACCAAGUAGUGCCGGCAUUAAUUAAAGCUAUGGAUGAUGAGAGUGUACAAGUGCAGGUCUGUAUGUCCUACGAUGAUAUGAACUCCUUUGGAUGCUAGUAUCAUAUGUCCCAAAUUACAGUUGCGAAAUUUUCUUACUGAACCUUCUCAAUGGGCUUAACUUUAACUUUAUUAGAUUUAAUCCCUGCUCUAACUUUACUAUCUUCAUAUUUUCCUAGGUCAGUGUCAUACGCACGGUCUGGCACUUCCUUCACGUUCGCACGCCUGAAUAUUUGACACUUUACAUCCAUGGAUUACACAAUAAAUUGCUUCAACUGUCGUCACAUACUGUUGCGGUGGUACGUAUUGUAGACUAAGUGCAAGAGAAAUCAGAUCAUUUUCUUGAACAAUGAACAGACAAUAUUACGAAUACAUUAAGGGAAACAACCAUAAUUUCCAAGUUCCCAAUAUAAUUAUCCCGCCCUCCUUUAUAAAUUCAAAGUUUGUUACUCCCUUGAAUGUCCUUGAGGUCUCUACUUGCCUGAUUUAUUUUUGUUUUUGACAUGAAAGGUCCAAAAAUCAGCGUCAACUGUACUCAAUUGUUUGGGUGAGCAUUUUGAGGUAUUACCUAGUAAUUCUGCUUCAACUUUUAUUAAGAGUAUGUUGUAUUAAGCUGGUUUUAUAUUUCUAUUAAUAUUAACAUUACUUCAACAGGAGUUCUAUGGGAACAACUACGAAUCUAAUAAACCACUUUUGAAAGCUUCACUGGUAGAAGCAAAUUUUCCAAGUAAAGAUGUAGAGAUGAUCAUGUCAGUGUACGAACCUGGCAGUUCGGUACUUCCAAAACAGGUCUUCCACCAGUUAUACCAAAUGGAUUCUAUACAUCUCACUGAACUUAGAGCUUAUUGUUUAUUCGUUUUCUAUUUUUCUGUUGUUGACAUAAUGUCACUAUAAGAUUAUGGAAGCAGUUAUGUCAUUACAAGGAUCACAAGAGGAUGAUGAGGAUACAAAUACCAUCUACAAGCUAAUGGUAUGUGUUGUUGAGAAUAUCGUUAACUAAUAAAAUGGUGUUCUCUCUAAUAGCUUAAGCUUUUAGAUGAGAUGGUCACACACUUCAACAUGUUAUCAGAACAGGCAGAGGCCCUGGGAUCAAAUCUCUUCGCCACCCAAAUUAAAAAGAAUUUCCACGUGCUAAUCAGUCAGAAAUUCUUUCAAGAUUGGUCUUUCUAUAUUUCUUGAUCUCAUUCCAGGUUGUCACACUUGGACUUCUCUCUUUUUCUUUCUUUCUACCCGUGAUUUUGAUCGCGAACUGAAAAUUUAACAAGUGGUUUCAAUGGCCUAAUGCUUGAUAAAUGAUACAGACUGCUUCAAUUUUAUUUCCACUUUUGAAAUUCCAUUUCAAAGGGGUCAGGUUCCAUACAGUUUGAAGGUGAGAUUUCUCAGGAUUUCACAUAGUUAAUUUCUACCGUCUUUUAUAACUAUCUGAUCAACUCCAAGACUUUUUAAUUUGUAAUGUUUAUAGCGAUGAAGCACAUUUUGCAAUCUGCUAAACUGGCUGAUGAGAAAGGGAUUGCUCCAGGUGAAAGCCAUUCGGAUUUCAAGCAGUUUUCAGACAGUAUAAUACUGAAUUUGGUGGAAGCUUUGCAUGAGGUUUACUUUUAACAUUAAGCUUCUUCUUUUUGGAUAAUGAGAAAGUAACACUUUGAUUUCUAUAUAAUGCAGGAGCUUGAAACAGAGAUAUAUGUACAUAUGUUGAAUACAUUACGACUGUGCCUUCAGGUUCGUGAUCUUUAAACACUGCUUAUUUGUUUUUGAUCCAAAGUUUUCAGUGUUUCACUAUGAGCUAGGUAUGAAGUUUUUUGGAACUGUUGCCUUUAAGUCUGUUGCUUAAAAUGUUCCAUUAGUAUCAUCAAAGUGAGAAAAUAGCAAUGGUGACAAGUCGAGUUAGAAUGGCAAAACAGGAUUUUUCAGGUUGUAUAUGGUCCUUGUGUUUCUUCUUUCAGAUAUGUGGUCCACUUCUCAAUAAAGACCAGCUUCGUCCGGUCGUGGAUGAGAUAAAGCAUGUCAUUACAGAAAAUUUAAAUAGCCAAGGAAAACUCAGAGAGAGAGAAAAAACAGAAGACUUUGAUGCUGAGGAAGCUGAAUUGCUGAGAGGGGAAAAACAGCGACAAGAUCAAAUAAUUUUCCUUGUAUGUUCUAUUUUAAAACAGGAACUAAAGUGAUACACUGUUGUCUAUAUAUUCAAGCAUUUUCGCUUUGUUUAUGCUGUUAUUCUUGAACAGGCUGGUCACAUAUUACGUAGACUUAUCGAAUCAUUCAAGGUUGUUUUCUUGCCUUACUUUGACGAGCUAUCAUUAUAUCUGAUUCCGAUGUGGGUAAGUUCAUUGACAUUAUUCUGACAUGACGUUAGUUUAUUUACUAUUAUUCAUAUCUAGGAUAUCUUACUGUUUCCGAUUUUGUUAAGGGAAAAGAAAUGACAAUUCAAGAGAAAUCUACAUCACUUUAUAUCUUUGAUAGUCUUGUGAAGGAGUGCUCUGAAGCAGCUCUAAAGUGAGUUUAAUUUGUCUGUAUGAGUUUCUGGUGUAUCACCAUUUUUAUAAAUUACUUACUUCUUAUGCCAACUUAGGUACUGUGAUGUAUUUCUACCUUUGCUUCUGAAAGCAAGCAAUGACGACAACCCGACAGUUAGACAGGUUUGGAUCAUAGUGAUUGUUUACAUUCCUGUUACUCAAGUUGGUUGCUCACAAUGACUUUAUGUUCAGAAAGCUUUAUAUGGACUUGGGCUUUAUGCAGAAUAUGAUGGUUCUGUUUUCCAACCUUAUGUUAGAGGUAUUAAUAUUGUUGAAUGUGAUACCUUCUAAUCAAGCAAGUGUUUUUGUUAACUUACGCGUUUAUGUUCAGAGGCUAUGUCACGGAUCAAUGUAGUGAUAAUGCAUUUACGUGCUCGUGAACCUGAGAAUGAACUUGCAUAUGAUAAUGCUGUUUCUACCCUUGGUAAAAUAUUUCAGUUUCAUCGAGAACUUAUCGACUCAGCCCAGGUUUGUCCUUCUCAGAAUCCCUAAUGUUAAGUCUUGUUAUAAUUUCUGAUUCUGAAUCCUUGUGUAGGUCAUUCCCAUUUGGUUGAAUUGCCUGCCUAUAAAAGGUGACCUUGCUGAAGCCAAAUAUGUUCAUGGUCAACUAUGUUCCAUGGUUGAAAGGUAUUGGAUUUGUUUGGAAACUCUAAUAUGUUAUAACUUUCAUAAAAUGCAGGAUUAUUUUAUCCAACGUUUUGUUGGAAAUAUUAUAUUAUCAUAAGACUAUUUAUUCCACCAUUUAUACCUUAAAAUGUGAUAAGUUAUUUCAUCCCGAAAUAGUUGAUGUCAGGAUAACUUAUUCCGAACCAAACCAUCCCUUAAUGAUUUAUCAAAUUUUCUCAAUUGCAGGUCAGAUAGAGAACUUUUGGGUACCAAUUAUGAACACUUCCCAAAAAUUAUGUCAGUUUUUGCAGAGGUUAGUUCCAUAUCAGAAUCUAUAGAUGCCAGUUUGAGUUGUUUAUUUGCUCAUGUUACAUAUUAAAUGAGAUAAAUAUUGAAAACAUAAUUAUUAAUUUCAUAAUCAAACUAUUAACAAUCUUAAAAACACUCAUUUCUUUGACUAACUAAACUUAAAUACACUCCCGAUCUUGCAACAUGACCAAAAUACAUCCCUAAUUUAAGGGUGCUUUCAACACUCCUCUAUGUAAUGUGGCAGAUCAGAGAUGUAUUUAAGUUUAAUCUGGUCAAGUAGAUAUGUGUUUUUAAGACUAUCAAUAAUUCAAGAACGAAACGAACAAUUUGUGUCAAGUUUAAGAGUGUUUUUGAAUCAAACUAAAGACAUUUUUUAUUCCAUUUUUAAGGUUAUAUGUGGUGGAAAACAUCUUGCUACAGAAGAAACAACAAAGUGUAUGAUUAAUCUGUUGAGGAAUCUUCUUAAAGAACUACCACCAGACACUUUGACAUCAGCAUGGUCAUUGAUAUUGCCUCAGCAAGAAAUGGAACUAAAAGCCAUUUUAUUUCCUGGAAUACUUCAUGUGGUACGUUUUCACAACAAAACAUUUUGUAUGCUUGACACUGAUACCAAUGAAAGCUCUCCCCCUUACUCUUUACCAUCCAAAAUUGUCAAACUUCUUGAGGAAGAACACCAGAAAAAUAGUAUUAUUGUUCCACAAAUGUAACUUAUAAACCAUAAAUUGUAUCUUUAAUUAAGUUUUGUAUCAUUUAAGUAUACAAGAUGAUACUAUAGUUGAUUUGUGGGGAAUUGAAUAUGUAAUUAUCAUUAAACUAUCUAUUUUAUAUCUUUUUUACGAUUUAUCUAUCCAUUUGGAAUUUCUUUAUUUUUAAUUUUUCAUAAGUUGAAAUUCAUAUUGUGGCAUAUAAUUUAAAUAAUUAUUUAUUCAAAUUAAACAAGUCAAACCUUAAGGACCUAAAAUCUAAACCUGACGGCAUAAACCAUAAACCUUGAGGGGUCGUUUGGUGUGAAAGAUAACUUUAAAUAGUCCUGCGAUUAAAUUAUAAUGUCACUAAAUUUGUUGUUUGAUUGGCAAUUUGGUGAUAAGUUAUCUCGUGAUUAAUAAUUAAUACAAGGAUAAAUUAUCCCUUCCCUUGGGUGGUACAAUAAUCCCGAGAAAACUUAUCACGAGAUAAAAUGACUAAAUGACAAAAAUAUCCCUUCAAACACUUUUUAUACAUUACUUUUCAUAUUCAUGAACGGUAUUUUUCUAAGCAUCAUAACUUGAAUUCAAACCAAACGACUGCACCUUAGAGCCCAAAAAAUAAACUCAAAAUCAUAAACUCUAAACCUUAAACCUUAGGCCUCAACCUUAAAAUCUAAACCAUAAACCCAAAACUCAAAAGCUUGGGGCCUAAAACCUAAGAUCUACGAUUUAUGGUUUAGGAUUUAGGAUUUAGACUCUAAAAUUUAUAUUCUAGGGGUUGUAGUUUAUCGUUUUGACUAUAAGAUUUAGGAUUUAAGAUUUAUAAUUUUAAGAGUUUAGGCCUUAUGGUUAAGUGUUUAGAGAUAAGAUUUAUAAUUCAUGUAUAAAUUAAAAUAUAGGGUUUAGGCCCAAGGUUCAUAUGGUUUUAUGAUUUAUCAAAAGCCAAUUUGAGGUCAAUUUUUAAGCACAAUUGAACCAAACCCAUUUGAACCCAAAAUAAAUUUGAACGGAUUGAUCAACUUCGUGUAUUUUUUUCUACACUUUUGACUCUUCAUCACCUUUCUACAAUUACAAUUGUUUCACAAAUCCUUUUUUUAAAAUCUUUCAAACAUAAUUAUAAAAAAUAUCUUAGUAAAUCCAUUCUAUUUCCUAAUCCCUUUCAUAAAACAAAUAAUCAAAAUAGCCUCAGAAGGAAGGCAGUAGUAUAGUCAUAAUCAUUAUUUUGACCAUUAACGCAAAACUACUCAUCAUCGGACAAAAAAAUAAUAAAUUAAAAGAAACAAAAAACAAUUAUUAUUGUAAUGCUUGAAAGUUUUGCAAUUUUCCUAAUUCAAAAUUAUUGACUAUCGAUUUUGAUAAUGUAUUUCCCAAAAUUGUUGUGUGAAAUACACGAGUAAAAUACAUCUGAACUCAAAAUUCAAAAUACAUUUCAAAACUCAAAAUUAAGAGUCAAAUUUGUGCAUAAAAUUUAGGACUUGAAAUCUAAACUCAAAAUUUGAAACCAUAUACCUUAGGGCAUAGAUCCUAAACCUUAAGAGCCUAAACUUUAAACAUUAUGUCCAAAAUUAUGAACCCUAAAUCUUGAACCUUAAAUCCCAAGUCAUAAACCCUAAAAUCUUAGAACUUAAACCCAAAACUCUAAACCUUAAAGCCUAAACCUUAAACCUUAAACCUUAAACCUUGAAAGCCUAAAUCUUAAUGUUUAGGAUUUAUGAUUUAUGGUUUUUGAUUUUAAAAUUUAAGAUUUAGAGUUCAGACAAUAUGGUUAAGAGUUUUAAGUUUUAUGAUAUAAGAUUUAGGCCUUAAAAUUUGAAGUUUAGAUUUUAACAAUUAGGCUCUAAAAACUUUAAGAUUAAAAAUACAGCAUUUGAACAUUAUAAUAAAUAAUUAUGUAGUACCCCAACGACCAAAUACACCACAAAAAUUAGAUGCAAAGGAUAGCGAGGGGAACAUUAUUAUAGCUUCACUUGCUAAAGUAUCACACUACAAAAAGUGAAAUCCACAAAAUAUAAUUAGCAAAAGCAUAGUACAAUUAACAACAUAUCCAAUAAAAUCACAGUAAAUUUAUGCAAAUCUUAUCAUUAUCUCGUAAAAAUAAAAAUAAAAUAUGAAAACUACUUAGUCCCUUAGAUGUUCAAUUAAUUGCGAUCAUCUUCGCAAAUCAUUACAGGUCUGUAACUGUAAAAAAUUAAUCAUCACUGUUGUUUCCAUUGAAUAAAAUAUAUAAAAAAAAUUUUGAUGAACAAACUCAGUCCCUUAGAUGUUCAAUUUGUUGCGAUCAUUUUCGCAUAUCAUUACAGGUCUGUAACUGUAAAAUAUUACUCAUCAUUGUUUAUUCAUCAAAAAAAUAUUCUGAAUUUUUUUUUUUUUAAAAAAAAGUUGUAGCUGCUCCAAUUGUUCUCCACAGAUUAAAUUAAAUGAGGAGAAAGAUGAAAAAGGAACAACACACUUAUAAUGCUUCAAGGGAACGAGUUGGUCAAAAAUAAAUUAUUUCUUGCCAACCAGAUUAAAGAAGCAUAUAACUCAAAAUAUAUACACAAAAAUAAUAAAUUUAUUUAGAGUUUAGAAGAUAUAUCACCAUUGUUGAAGAUUUCAAUCGGCAGCUGCAGAAGAGAGAAAUUGUUGUGUUUUGAAGUACACGCAAAACUCAAAAACAAGAAAAUUAUCCAUCUAGCUGGAUAUGAUUAUUAUGCAUAAUGAAUAAAGGAAACAGCUUAAGAGAAAAACUGGUCCGUUAGAUCUCCUCUUUCAAUCGCAAUCUUCUAUUUCUGCACAGCAAAGAAACACUUCUCAAAUAUAUUUUACGAAAGAUUUAACAGGUAAAAGUGUACAAGCUCAAAAUAUGAUGCAAUUAAUCUUGAGUCAGUUACCUGUUAAACCAGUGUUGCCGCUUUUUAUAUGCAAGGGGUAAAUAAGGACCUUGGGCUCUGCAUUUCCAUAUCCUUCUUGCACUUCUUUAAAGUCCUUAACUGAUUUUUCAAGAGACUCACCACAUCGUUUUACUUCAACCAUCUUUAGAUAAUGCAUAUGUCCAACCAUGGAAGGAAUUUCUCGAAGAUUAAAGCAGUUUUCUAUAAGAAUGUGUUCGAGGUUGGGAAAGGACUCAUCUGAUGCAUUCCAUGUUGUUAUUGUAAGGGAUCUUAAUUUAAGAACCUUGAGGUUCAGAAACUCUUCAUCUUCGAUCUCCCAUUUGUCCUGCUGAAAUACUCUAUGUUCCAACUUCAGAACCACUAAAUUUGGUAAUCUUCCGAUAUUAGACAGUUCACUUUGUGGCAACAAAACAUCUGAUAGAGUUAGCUUUGUUAGUGUCGCGGGCAAGGUGAAAUUCAAAAUCAUACCGUUUACACUGAGUGUUUCAAGUUGAAGAGCAUUUAAUUUGAGUUUGAGAGGCUCUUUACAGUGGCAUUUGAGUUUUCGCAGUCUGCUUUCUGUUUUAUUUAAGAAAUACUCCCUCCGUCCCAUUUUAUAUGAUGUACUUUGAUACCGUUUACACUGAGUGUUUCAAGUUGAAGAGCAUUUAAUUUGAGUUUGAGAGGCUCUUUACAGUGGCAUUUGAGUUUUCGCAGUCUGCUUUUCUGUUUUAUUUAAGAAAUACUCCCUCCGUCCCAUUUUAUAUGAUGUACUUUGAUUUGGCACAAACUUUAAGAAAAAUGGAAAGACUUUUAAAACUUGUGGUCCAAAAUGAAUGAUAGAAAUUUGUGUGGUUGUAAAUCAUUUCAUUAAGGGUAAAAAAGACAUUUUAUAGGCAAAUUGUUACUUAAAAUAGAAAUGUGUCAUUCUUUUUGGGACUGACUAAAAAGGAAAGUAAGUCAUAUAAAUUGGGACAGAGGGAGUAUUAUUUAAGACUGGUUUAAGAGUCGCCACUUAAUUUUUAAGAAAAAUCAAGAAAAACUGAUUUUCAAUAGAUUAAAACAGUGAAUCAAUUGAAAAUACUAAAGGGGGUUCGGGGGUUCUUAUAAAUAUUCUAGGAAGGUUUUUAAGGCACCUAGAAUAUCCACUAAUGUGGUUAUCCGACGAUUAACUACUUGGCUAAAAUAAUUGAACUUAAUUUGAUUUGAGCAAUUUUUAUUGUUAGAACCAUAUUAAAGGGAAAUACUUAAAUAUUAUCUAAGUGAGCUAAUUUUUAAAACUUAUUCUUUAAGUCUUGUUGAGUGAUGACUGAUUCAGUUAAAUUGUUAAAUCAAAAUAGGCGUCUUUCGGGGAUUUGAAUUUUUCAACCUUAAGGUUAGCGACAAAUAUUAACAAGCACACAAAUAUAAUAAAAUAAAGAGGGAAAGAGAUUUGGGCCCAAGUUUGGUUUUACUGUCCGCCUGGACCAAUACUUGGGCCCACUUUCGUUUUGGGGUUUUCGGCCCAUUUAAAUAAUCGGUACCUGUCCUAGUCUAACAAGAUAAUAACAAGGGCUUAGGCCCCCAAAAUAACAAAAAUACAAUUCCCGAAACUAAGAGUGGGCCUUUGGGUCCAUUUUCCUUCUUUCGUAUACACUAGAUGUCUACUAGUGUACACAAUCCCAUAUGUCUGCUUCGAAGACCUGUACGCUGAAUUCAUGGAAUUGCUCUUCAAUUCUAUUGGCUGGCCGACUCAAUGAAGGAUUUGAGCAUUUAUGGCUCUCUCGAAGUGAGGGGGAAGGAGAUAGGAGUUCAUAGUGAACUCGGACAUAUUUCACAAGCAAAACGAUAAAUAAGUAACAAAAUUAGCAUCUUCGGGAAGGAAAUGAAGUGAUAAGAUAAAAUAAAUAGAUAAGUAAAAUAACAUGCCAGUCAAUCAUUAACAACACAACGCCUAAACAAUAAUUUAAAAGGAAGACUGAUGAAGACUUGUUCAUUUUUACGUAUCAUGAAUGAGGAGCAGUGAUCAAGUACCAAGCAUUAGAACAAAGGUCAUAUGAGAUGUAAACUAAUAAGCUCUUAAUAAAGAUUAUUACUUAUUACAAGAUUAAAAUAACUACUAUGCAGGUUCAAAACAGAGAAGAAAGAAAUUUUAAUUAUAUAUAUAAUAUAAAAGAGAUAGUGAGCAAAUGUGGCAUCUACUAAAUGUGACUAUUGAAUGUUUAUCUCAAAGCACAAGAAUUGUUAGCUAAGCAAGCCUACAAUCAGUAGUUUAAGUAAAAGGAAAGAAACAUUCAAGUCACCUUUUGAACUUUUAAAAACAAUAUUAUAAACAAGUUAAGGUAGGUAGGAUUUAGUCAAAAUAUUAUUUUUUACAUAAGUGAGCUUUCUAAACAAAUAUAACAAUAAAAAAAAAAUUAGUCAAUGACUCAAAUUUUGCACAAGGGUAUAGCCUAAUACCGACAUUAUUUGGACAACUUUCUUAUUACUGAUUCUAACAUUUACGACACCGAAUUAAGCUAUGUAGAGAAGAAAAAAGGCCGGUGAUCACCAAAGCAAGUAAAAAUAUAUAGCAUCCUUAGCAACUGUUGAGACAUGCUGAAAUUAAAGAAGAAUAAAAGCCAAAAGUAUGGAUGUACAUUCACAGUUUUAUGUAUUCCCAAACUUAUCGAAAUUUGUUAAAAAUAUACAUGAGGCUCACGGAGAUAUCAAAUAGCAAAGUGGGCUGAUCCAUUUAUCCUAAAUGAGUAAACAUACAAAAUGAAUGAACAAAUACGGACUAUGACAUAUUUUACGCAUCCCGUAACCAAGAAAAAGUAGCACGAACUUACUUAAGGCAUGUCAAACUAAUCAAGAUCAAAAUUGUAUACCAUUUGGAACCAAACAACAAAAACAAUUCCCAUAAUUCUGGAAAAAUAAAAAAAAACACAUUCAAACUAGACCUGGACAACAUCUAAAUAAUUAGAGACAAAAUCAGAUAAACAAAAAUGAAAGAAUUAAUCAUACCACAAGACAACCAUAACAAAGUUUAAGCUAUACUAAUCCGGACAAGACUAUUGAUCUAAACUCAAAAAUAAGUGCAGGAAGAGCUAGAUCCUACAAGACUGGUCUAAUGUAAUUUAUGAGGGUCUAUAACAGUGAAUAAAAAAUAAAGAGAAGACAACCAAGACCACAAAUGACCAAUAGAGAAGCAGAACGAGUCAAAAAUUAAGCUACAAAGGGAAUAAUUUAAAGACUCAUAUUUAAACUAACACAUGCUUCCAUACAUGAGUAAUUUAAUCAAAAUAAGUUAGAACAAAAUGAAACCAAAGAAACUCCGCAGCAACAAGUUUAUCACACAACAUUUAAAACAUAAACAAAGCGCGGAAGAGGGAAGAGAUAUUACCUUUUCCGGGCAGCGAAACUGAGACAAGAACGAGCUUGGAGCGACUUCAACACAACCUUGAACUCGAGCACCAGACCAAAGAAAAGAUCGAGUCGACCUCGAACGAGAACUUCUCGUAUCCUUAAGACUAGGGAACCGUCUAAGACUUCUCAAGUGUAAAUUUAUUCCAAGAAAUCCAACCCCCAAAUCCCUUCCUUUUUUUUUUUUUUUAACAUAUGAAAAAAGAGCCACCUUUAUAGGUAAAAACUCCAGCAGAAAAUGGGGGGAAACGGAUGAAAAAAACGGGCAGAGAUCCCCCAUCCCCAAUUCAAACUUCAAAAUUUAUUCACAAACUUAGAGAGACAACAUUUUUUCAAAAUUUCGCCCCAUUCCCAAAGAGGAAAAAGGGAGAAACGCGUGCUGCUGCGACAUUAAUGUGGAUAGGGACGUCUGAAGAAGAAGCCAAAUCUGUAGUGUACGUCUCUCUGCUCCUCGCUACUUUUCGUCUGAUCGCUCUGUAUUUUUUGUUAUGAACGUUGGGGCUGCUGGGUUUGUAUUGUGAAGGAAAAGGGGAGGUGGGCCGGGUUAAAGGGGGGAAUUGUGGGUUGAGGCGGUAGGGUGAGAAAUAAAAGAAAGGAAAAGGGAAUUGGGGAAAUUACGGUCGGUCAGGUAUUGUUGUUGUUGUCAAGUUGUAUUGUAUGUAGUGUUACAUGUGGGUGGGUUUUGGUAUUAAAUUUGGGCUGGGAAUUAUGGAAUUGCUGAUGGGUUUAAAGAAGGGAUGGAUUGUUGGUAUUAUAUUCUGGGAAUGGGUAUUUGGAAUCAGAUAAAUACAAUGGGUUAUGGGAGUUGGCAAAAUGGCCUGAUUUGGUCUAAAAGAAAAGAGUUCUAUCGGAUUUAACAAUUAGCCAACUUUGAUAAACUAGUGAAUUCGACUAAAAAUUAAAUAAGACGAAUUAAUAUAAUUAACUAACGAGCUUCUUAAUCUUAACGAAAUAAAAUAAUCAACUUAAUUAUUAGUCAAUUUGAAUAACUCAAAAUUAUGACUAUAAAUACUACCAAACUAUAUUAAUAAAAUAUUCAUUUUAACAAAGUAGAAAUCUUUUGAAUAUGAUUUUUAAAUAUUAUAAAAUGUACUAAUCAUAUAUGUAAUUAUAUGAAAUAUAUUUAUCAUUCAAAAUGCUAUAAAAGUCGAUUGAAAUUAUUCAACUAACCUUGAAAUUAUUUAAAUUUUGUAAAGCUAAUUAUUCUAAAUCAUUUAGAAUUUAAGAAGCUCGAUGAUUAAUUUAUAUUGUGGAGGUCCAAAAAUUGGGUGUCAACACUUGCCUUCUUGACCAUGUAGUCUACUAGCUCAUUAGUGAGAGACACUGUGGCCAAGGUCUCGAUGCAACAUAUGUUUGUCGAUGUCUGAGGAAUGCGUCCAUCAAAAGAUGCAACAGGUUCAACAUGUACAUGCUUUAGCCUUGGCAUAUUCCAGAUGGUCAUCGGUAAAAUUGUGCCACUGCCUACUGUUAUUACAAGCAAUACCUCUAGGUUUGAAAGGUUCGAUAUCCAUAAUGGCAUAGAUACCAUAUAGCCUUUGAUUCCUAAGUACUUCAAAUGGAUCAGCUCUUUUGAUCUCUGGAAUGAACUCUCCGACAUAGUACAUUCCAUUUGUAGUACUCUUAAUAGUUUAAAGUUCUCAAGAUCAAGAAAUUCCUGGCAGCCAGAUUUCGGGGGUCUGAAGAAUGCAGAUCGAACUUGCAUGUUUCCAAUCUUCCCUGCCCAAUAAAGGCUAUGAUGAAUGCAAAGCCUCCGGUGCUCAUAAAAGGAACUAGACAAAUCAGUCUUCCCGGUGCUUGUUAGUUGCAUAAACUUCUCUUCCUUAGACUUUGUCACGCAAAAAUCAUGUAACAUAUCAUGAAUGCGGCAUGUUCUGACUCCUCCAGUGGACUUUCUCUUGCUCACCAUUAUCAAGCUUCUACCGAUGAGAUCAUUCAGUAAAAUUUUUGCAUCGAGCCCUAUGUUUGGCACCAAUCCCUCGAUAGUCCAUAACCAUGCCAAGUUUGAGAGUGGAAUUUCUUCAUCCUCCUGAAAUGAUGCAAAAUAUAGAAAGCAGGGUUUGAGAUGAUCUGGCAUGUGCUUGUAGCUCAGUUCUAUAACCUCCAUGCACUCUUUUGCACUAGUAACAGUAUCUAACUUUAUACUUUCUGCGAUUCUUCUCCAACUUUCCUCAUUUUCGCUUAUCCCAGACAAAACUCCAGCAACCAAAAUCACAAGGAGAGGUAGUCCUUUACACUUACUUGCGAUGUUUGCUCCUACUUUUGAUAGGUCAGGCGGGCAAGUUUGUUCCUUGAACAGCUUGAUUCUCAUUAGUUCCCAACUUUCAUUUUCGUCAAGGAAACGAAGGUGAAGAGGUGCUCUAUCAGGUUUAAUUUUUGAAGCCACAUCGCUGAGUCUGCUAGUUAAUAAAAUCCUGCUUCCGUUAUUAUCAUCCGGUAAGCAUCUUCUCAAGUAUUUCCAUGUCUCAACACUCCAUAUGUCAUCAAUGUAGAGAAGGUACUUCUUUCUUAACAGAAAUUUCCGCAAAGCAUCUUCUGGAUUUUUCUCAUUCUGUUGGUUAGAGCCUUUGACUUGAUUCAAAAUUCCGAGCGGCAACUUUCUUCUGUCAUAAGUUUGGGAAACACAACACAUAGCUUGGAUGUCAAAAUGACGCUGCAUUUUCUCAUCAUGAAAAACUUUCUUUGCUAGUGUAGUUUUUCCAAGACCAGGCAUCCCUACGAUAGACACAACAUCCAAGUUCUUUGGUCCUAUAGUGAGCUGUUCGAUUAGCAAGUCAGUCUCAUCCUUAAAACCCACCAUUACCUCAUCAAGUUGUGUAGUCUCAACUACUUGUCUGACAGGAUUUGGUGUUUGUUCUUCAAUAGGGCCUUCAACUUCUUGCGUAAUCGUAGCAUGGAACUCUUUCAAAUGAUCCCUUACAACCUUAGUUUCUGUUGUGAUCUUACAUAACAAAUGUAGAUACCAAACAGGAUAAUCUCCGGUAACCAGGCAAUCAAUUAUGCAUUCUGCCUGGUAUGCUAGAGAUAUGACUUCUGUCCAUAGAUCAUGUUUCUUCACCUCCUCAAACUCAUGUUUUUUCUUCUCAACUUCCUUCAAGAAGUAUCUUAAGAGAUAUAACUCUUCCCGAGCUUCUUCAAUAUGAUGCUUGACAACAGAAUCACACUUUCCGUCUUGCAGCAGCUCUUUNNNNNNNNNNNNNNNNNNNNNNNNNNNNNNNNNNNNNNNNNNNNNNNNNNNNNNNNNNNNNNNNNNNNNNNNNNNNNNNNNNNNNNNNNNNNNNNNNNNNNNNNNNNNNNNNNNNNNNNNNNNNNNNNNNNNNNNNNNNNNNNNNNNNNNNNNNNNNNNNNNNNNNNNNNNNNNNNNNNNNNNNNNNNNNNNNNNNNNNNNNNNNNNNNNNNNNNNNNNNNNNNNNNNNNNNNNNNNNNNNNNNNNNNNNNNNNNNNNNNNNNNNNNNNNNNNNNNNNNNNNNNNNNNNNNNNNNNNNNNNNNNNNNNNNNNNNNNNNNNNNNNNNNNNNNNNNNNNNNNNNNNNNNNNNNNNNNNNNNNNNNNNNNNNNNNNNNNNNNNNNNNNNNNNNNNNNNNNNNNNNNNNNNNNNNNNNNNNNNNNNNNNNNNNNNNNNNNNNNNNNNNNNNNNNNNNNNNNNNNNNNNNNNNNNNNNNNNNNNNNNNNNNNNNNNNNNNNNNNNNNNGCAUUUUCUCAUCAUGAAAAACUUUCUUUGCUAGUGUAGUUUUUCCAAGACCAGGCAUCCCUACGAUAGACACAACAUCCAAGUUCUUUGGUCCUAUAGUGAGCUGUUCGAUUAGCAAGUCAGUCUCAUCCUUAAAACCCACCAUUACCUCAUCAAGUUGUGUAGUCUCAACUACUUGUCUGACAGGAUUUGGUGUUUGUUCUUCAAUAGGGCCUUCAACUUCUUGCGUAAUCGUAGCAUGGAACUCUUUCAAAUGAUCCCUUACAACCUUAGUUUCUGUUGUGAUCUUACAUAACAAAUGUAGAUACCAAACAGGAUAAUCUCCGGUAACCAGGCAAUCAAUUAUGCAUUCUGCCUGGUAUGCUAGAGAUAUGACUUCUGUCCAUAGAUCAUGUUUCUUCACCUCCUCAAACUCAUGUUUUUUCUUCUCAACUUCCUUCAAGAAGUAUCUUAAGAGAUAUAACUCUUCCCGAGCUUCUUCAAUAUGAUGCUUGACAACAGAAUCACACUUUCCGUCUUGCAGCAGCUCUUUUAGAUAGCGUAAGAGGGAAUCGAUGAACCCCAAUCCAUUUGUCCUAGGAAAAUUACAUUUUGAUGACACUACAUCUUUCAAAAUCACAUCUUUUAGAUCUUCCAUGACAUGCUCAAUCUUUUUUAACAAGUCACUGAAUACCGAGUUAACUUCUGCUGCUUUGUCAACGGAGAAAGAGAAAGCAGCAGAUACUACCUCAGCAAUCAGACCUUCAAUGCAAGUAAGUUUGUCACUCAUUUUUUCCUGGAUAACAUAUAAAUCUUCAGGUGGAGAAAUGAGCAAAGUUAUCAAUUGCUUUGAUGCUUCGGCAAGGCUUUUGAUUUGAUCCUUUUUAAGAGGAAGCAUCAAAGAACAUGCCUCACCGUCUGAUAACUCCAACAAAUCCUUGAAGAUGAAAUGAACAAAACCUUCAACAAAUUCUAUCACAUCCCGGCUGUAUUGGAUUUGCAAUUUAACUGAACCUCUUAGAGCUCCAGUAUAGAUUUCUGCAACGUCCGGAUCAAUGGGCUUGAUAUCUUUCAAAACAUGAGAGAUUUGUAGUGUCAACACAGAUGCUGAAUCUCCAUCCAUUUCUUCCACAUAACAAAGGUAACAUAUGUAUGCAGCAUUCACUGUGAUGCCCUCUAUAUGAUUAAAAAGAAUGUUGGAUUUCUCUAGCUCCAUGCUUGCAUCUUUUAUGAAAUUGAGGAAGGUUUUUAGAUAUUUUAGACUUUCUUCAAGGACUUGAAACUCUUUCUUCAGAAGUACAAACUUGUCGAAAUCUUUCUUGUUGAUGAGAAGAUCCUUCACAUUCUGAAGGAUGUGCUCAAUGAAUUUCUGAAACACUGGGCUGCAUAAAUUUGGUAAAGGCCACCUCCCUGGAACCAAUGAAAGGAGAAACUCAUAACCUUCUUUGACUUCAGCAGAAGAUAAGUCUGCCCUUGGUCCCGAGACAGUGUCACCGACUUGCAUUCCAUGUCCGCGCAAUCUCCCCUCCUUAAUCCUUCCUUUUUGAGUUGCCCAAAACAAAAAAGUACCAAGAAAUCUCCUCUCUAUUUCAGACAUUUGUUUUCCAGCAGAAUUUCCUCAGAGUGGAUAUAUGUCGACAGCUCUGCAAGCAAAGAGAUUAAAAGCAAAUCACAUUCUAGGACAAACAAGAAAUUAACACAAAAUUCCUUUAUAUGUUGAUUGCACUCUUCCUCUUGUAUCAGAACAUUAUGCUUGAUUGUAACUAACAAACAGAUAAUAUUUAAGAAAAAGAUGUGUGUGAUCACAAAUAACAAAAACUGUUUGGUUGCACUAAAUGUUUUCUGGAAAAUGUGAAGUUAUAUCUGAAAGUCACAAUGCAUACUCUUAACUCUACACAACUAGGGGAAUGGGGAAAAAAGUCACCAGGAAAAACAAUAACAGAAAAAGAACUGGUUCCAAAGAGUUCUGAUUGUCUACUACUUACUUUUGCCUAAACUAGUUACCCUUUGUUAAUCCAAGCAAGUGAAAUUGUACUGAUACUAGGGUCAACCUUCAAUAUUUCCUAGCGAAUUGUCACGAUUUGUUUUUUUGAUGCUCAGGACAAAAUAAUGACUUCAUAUAUCAAUGCUACUUAUGUGAUUUUGAUUGUCAGGAAGUUUGCUUCAAAAUAGUUAUUACUAUAUAAAUAUUGUCUUUUUGUUUUUCUUAUUUACUAUUUCUUAAUAUUUUCAGUAUUUUAGACGAAGAAAGGUUCAUAUGACUUGUAAUAACGCUAGUUGUAAGUUUGUAUUAGUUUAAUACUUAUUAUUUAUUUAAUAGCUAAUUUUUAUGCUAUAAAUAUUUUUAUUAAUGCAAAUCUCUCUCUCUCUCUCUAAAUAUAUAUAUAUAUAUAUAUUUGGGUAGAUAUUUGUAUUUAAAUUAAUGUAUUAUAUAUGUCACGACUCACAAAUGUAUUAUCAAGUUAACAAAAUCUUCUAACUUCAAUAUAUAUUAUUUUAAAAUGUUCCGAGUUCUUUUUUUAAAAAAAAAAACUCACAACAAAUGUGAAAAUAUGUGAACAUAUAUGAAUCAUUUAAAAUUUAUCAUUUACAAAGUACAUUUUUUAUUCAGUAAUAUGGAAUAAACAUUUUCAUUUUUCCCUACACUAAAUUAAAAUCUAAUAACUAUAAAAAAAUAGUAACAUUAAUUAAAAUCCUAUUUAUUUAUGUAAGUAUAUAAUCUAUUAGAAAUUCAGCUAUUGCACAUUAAUUCUUUAGUUAUAACAUUAUAAAUUCUCUUCGUUAUUACCAAUUAUUGCAAACGUUAUUCACACUCUUUUACAUUCUUUAGUUAUAGUAUUGUGAAUUCUCAUAGUUAUUACAUUAAUUAUUUCUAUCUUUCAUCUUUCCUUAUAUUAACUGUUGACCAAUAAUUUUUUAUAUUAUUAUACAACCCCUAUAUAUGUGAUAACACGGUGUUAUUUUUCCUUGGAUGAAUUAUGCUUAGUUGAAUAAAUUGAAAAUCGUUUACAAGUAUAUGAACUAUAUCUUUGUUGGGUGUAAGAUAAACAUGUGAUUAUAUAUAUGAUUUCACAGAUAGAAUAUAUUCUUUAAUUUUAAUUUUUAGUUUUACCGGUAAAAAAAAGGAAACUUUUCUCAGUUAACUAUGGACAGUCAGAUAACUAUCUUUGAUUUAUGUACACAAUCAAUCGAGAAGUCAAAUAUGAGAACCAACAACAAGAACGUCAGCUAUUAUGCUAUAACUUAUAAAAUAAAAAUUAAUAUACAAAAAUAGUUCUAAAAAAUAAAAUUUUGUUGUUUUCUUCACAUGUUCAUAUGACAUCUAAACAGUUUAACAUGGAAUACAUGUGCAAAACACAUCUAGUUUGACAAGAAAAUACACAACAAAUAUCGUUUAUAAGGUAAUAUUAGUGAGAUACGACUAAUUACAUGAUUAAACCUCAUCAAAUUAAAAUAAAUAUAUACAUUAUUGCAUUUAACAAGUUAGUCAGAAAUAGCUCUAAGGUCACGACUCGGUAUCAUAUUAGAUCAUUGACAUCCCACAUUACCUUUUCAUUACUACUAAAUACCAACUGCCUAUAUAGAAAAUUAGUUCACAGCCCUGCUUUUCGCCAACUUCAGAAUUUUGGAAAUAGAAAGGAGAGUUGACCUUACCUUAAUCAACGGAGUAUAUAAUAUUGAUCUUGGAGAAGUGUCUACGAAAUUUACCUUUUCGUAUGGUAGGAAAGAUGGUUUUUCUAUAUAUAUGUUCAUUUUUUCUUACACAACUCCAUAGCAGCCGUUUCUCUCUCUAAUUAGAUCAUUGAAAUAUCUCAUGAUUUACGGAAGAAAGUCCUCAUUUGCUGCUACCAAUUUCACCACUUUGUCAAACAUCAGUUAAUUGGCAAAGAAAAGUCAAAUAAGACAAAGUUAAACAUUAUUCUUGUCAUUGAUUUCACUCAUGAUAUUAUUAGUAUAGAAAGCAGAAUGAGGUAUACCAGUCGUAUAAAAAAAUAGUCUGGUAAGAAAAAUAGAGCGUUAGCGAUCAUCUGUUAUCGGAACUAGCAAUAUGGAUCCUAACUCAUUAGCUCUUAAGCUAGCCAACUUGUAUAGGUGUUUCAGUACUAAUUCCCAUUUGACAGAGAAUUUAAACUUGUUUGUUGAAUUAAUCCAACAUAUUGACGCUGAAGCAAUAGUCCAUUACAUUGAUAUAUUACACCCUAUGUUCCUAAACACGUUGAAUGAUUCCCUGGUUAAUCUAGACGUGAAGAUCACUGCCCUGACGGCGAUGAGUAACUUCAUUCAACGGGUGGGGAGUUCAAAAGAUAGGGAGAGGUUUCAGGAUCUGUUGCCUGCGAUGAUGGACUUGCUGAAUGAGGCAUUGGAUAAAAAAUGUGAGGCAUCAGCGCAGUCUGAGUUCGAGAUUUUGAUCGAGUUGGCCAAGAAUGAGCCUAGCUUCUUCAGGAUGCAGCUUGUGGUUGUGGUGGGCUCCAUGUUUGAUAUAGCUGAAUGUGAGAGUUAUGAAAAGAAAACGAGACAUUUGGCGGUUGAAUUCGUGAUGACUUUGGUUGAGGCCAGGGAGAAGACCCCUGGCAUGAUCAAGAAGUAUCCAUUGUUUACUGAAAAAUAUUUUGCAAUUUUAUUGAAUUUGUUAGAGGAUGAGGUUUAUGACCCUCUCUUGCCUGAUCCUUAUGAUAUAUGGGAUAGAAAUGAUGAUUUCGUUUUUCUUAAGAUGUGUUUACGGCGGUUGUCCAAUGCGCUGGGUGGUAAGACUGUUGGUCCUGUUGCCUUUGAGCAGCUCCGUGCUCACUUGGCUGACGACUCGUGGCAGAAGCCAUGCGCAGCACUCUAUGCACUUGCUCAGAUUGUUGAAGGCUGCUCAGAGGUGUGUAUUUAUUGAUACACUACUAAGAAUUGCAUUUAAACUGAUUAGUUAACGAUCUUGGGAUAGCAGAAGGUCACCUUGAUUAUACUUUCUUCUGUUAUUCUCUAGACUAAGUACUUUGCUUGCUCUCAUCUCUUCUUCAUUAUAAUAGGUGAUGAUUAAGAAUAUGAAUCUAGUGGUGACAAUGGUUCUGGAUUGUAUGGGACAUCCUCAUCCUGGAGUCAGAUUCACCUCCAUGGAAGCAGUUCGCGAGUUUUUGAGUUUCAUGUGUCCCCAUUUUCAAGAACACUAUCAUCAGCAAGUAGUGCCGGCAUUAAUUAAAGCUAUGGAUGAUGACAGUGUACAAGUGCAGGUCUGUUUGUCCUACGAUGAUAUGAAUUCCUUUGGAUGCUAGUAUCAUUUGUCCCAAAUUACAGUUGCAAAAUUUUCUUACUGAACCUUCUCAAUGGCCUUAACUUUAACUUUAUUAGAUAUAAUCCCUGCUCUAACUUUACUAUCUUCAUAUUUUCCUUCACGUUGGCAUGACUGAAUAUUUGACACUUUACAUCCAUGGAUUACACAAUAAAUUGCUUCAACUGUCGUCACAUACUGUUGAGAAGGUACGUAUUGUAGACUAAGUGCAAGAGAAAUCAGAUCAUUUUCUUGAACAAUGAACAGACAAUAUUACGAAUACAUUAAGGGAAACAACCAUAAUUUCCAAGUUCCCAAUAUAAUUAUCCCGCCGUCCUUUAUAAAUUCAAAGUUUGUUACUCCCUUGAAUGUCCUUGAGGUCUUUACUUGCCUGAUAUAUUUUUGUUUUUGACAUGAAAGGUCCAAUUAUCAGCGUCAGCUGCACUCGAACUUUUGGCUAAGCAUUUUAAGGUAUUACCUAGUAAUUCUGCUUCAACUUUUAUUAAGAGUAUGUUGUAUUUAAGCCUGGUUUUUAUAUAUAUAUUAAUAUUAACAUUACUUCAACAGGAGUUCUAUGGGAACAACUACGAAUCUAAUAAACCACUUUGGAAAGCUUCCCUGGUAGAAGCAAAUUUUCCAAGUAAAGAUGUAGAGAUGAUCAUGUCAGUGCACGAACCUGGCAGUUCGGUACUUCCGAAACAGGUCUUCCACCAGUUAUACCAAAUGGAUUCUAUACAUCUCACUCAACUUAGAGCUUAUUGUUUAUUCGUUUUCUAUUUUUCUGUUGUUGACAUAAUGUCACUUUAAGAUUAUGGAAGCAAUUAUGUCAUUACAAGGAUCACAAGAGGAUGAUAAGGAUACAAGUACGAUCUACAAGCUAAAGGUAUGUGUUGUUGAGAAUAUCGUUAACUAAUAAAAUGGUGUUCUCUCUAAUAGCUUAAGCUUUUAGAUGAGAUGGUCACACACUUCANNNNNNNNNNNNNNNNNNNNNNNNNNNNNNNNNNNNNNNNNNNNNNNNNNNNNNNNNNNNNNNNNNNNNNNNNNNNNNNNNNNNNNNNNNNNNNNNNNNNNNNNNNNNNNNNNNNNNNNNNNNNNNNNNNNNNNNNNNNNNNNNNNNNNNNNNNNCAGGCAGAGGCCCUGGGAUCAAAUCUCUUCGCCACCCAAAUUAAAAAGAAUUUCCACGUGCUAAUCAGUCAGAAAUUCUUUCAAGAUUGGUCUUUCUAUAUUUCUUGAUCUCAUUCCAGGUUGUCACACUUGGACUUCUCUCUUUUUCUUUCUUUCUACCCGUGCUUUUGAUCGCGAACUGAAAAUUUAACAAGUGGUUUCAAUGGCCUAAUGCUUGAUAAAUGAUACAGACUGCUUCAAUUUUAUUUCCACUUUUGAAAUUCCAUUUCAAAGAGGUCAGGUUCCAUACAGUUGAAGGUGAGAUUUCUCAGGAUUUCACAUAGUUAAUUUCUCCGUCUUUUAUAACUAUCUGAUCACCGCCAAGACUUUUUAAUUUGUAAUGUUUAUAGCGAUGAAGCACCUUUUGCAAUCUGCUAAACUGGCUGAUGAGAAAGGGAUUGCUCCAGGUGAAAGCCAUUCGGAUUUCAAGCAGUUUUCGGACAGUAUAAUACUGAAUUUGGUGGAAGCUUUGCAUGAGGUUUACUUUUAACAUUAAGCUUCUUCUUUUUGGAUAAUGAGAAAGUAACACUUUGAUUUCUAUAUAAUGCAGGAGCUUGAAACAGAGAUAUAUGCACAUAUGUUGAAUACAUUACGACUGUGCCUUCAGGUUCGUGAUCUUUAAACACUGCUUAUUUGUUUUGAUCCAAAGUUUUCAGUGUUUCACUAUGAGCUAGGUAUGAAGUUUUUGGAACUGUUGCCUUUAAGUCUAUUGCUUAAAAUGUUCCAUUAGUAUCAUCAAAGUGAGAAACUAGCAAUGGUGACAAAAAUCGAGUUAGAAUGGCAAAAUAGGAUUUUUCAGGUUGUAUAUGGUCCUUGUGUUUCUUCUUUCAGAUAUGUGGACCACUUCUCAAUGAAGAUCAGCUUCGUCCAGUCGUGGAUGAGAUAAAGCAUGUCAUUACAGAAAAUUUAAAUAGCCAAGGAAAACUCACAGAGAGAGAAAAAACAGAAGACUUCGAUGCUGAGGAAGCUGAAUUGCUGAGAGGGGAAAAACAUCAACAAGAUCAAAUAUUUAAACUUGUAUGUUCUAUAUUAAAACAGGAACUAAAGUGAUACACUGUUGUCUUUAUAUAUUCAAGCAUUUUCGCUUUGGUUCUGCUGUUAUUCUUGAACAGGCUGGUGGCAUAUUAGGUAGACUAAUCGAAUCAUUCAAGGUUGUUUUCUUGCCUUACUUUGACGAGCUAUCAUUAUAUCUGAUUCCGAUGUGGGUAAGUUCAUUGACACUAUUGUAACAUGACGUUAGUUUAUCAUUAUUCAUAUCUAGCAUAUCUUAUUGUUUCCGAUUUUUGUUAAGGACAAAGAAAUGACAA
This 36541-nucleotide long non-coding RNA is filed under the name Solanum tuberosum (potato). Its description in RNAcentral is "long non-coding RNA (STUB_LNC001198)". The record is from RNAcentral. Lineage: Eukaryota; Viridiplantae; Streptophyta; Magnoliopsida; Solanales; Solanaceae.